Non-coding RNA from Aegilops tauschii subsp. strangulata, 1835 nucleotides. Lineage: Eukaryota; Viridiplantae; Streptophyta; Magnoliopsida; Poales; Poaceae. The record is from RefSeq and is a predicted model, not a curated record.
CCUGGAUACCAUGCUGAUGGUCAAACAUUUGCGGCUACGGCUAAUCUAUCAGUAGAUCAUGCUAUUAAUAAGAUGCAGCUGCGAGAUGAUACUGAAGGUAUCCAUAGGCAUGAUAUCCACCUUCCCAACCGGCGUAUUCGGCAGUGGUUCAGUGUGUUUUAUUUGUUUUUUGAUUUGUACUUAUAACAUGAUGCAGACGACACAGCUUCCGAACUGCUUGAAACUGUUUUUCUAAAUAAUGAAUGCAAAAAAUACGCUGAGGAAGCAAGGGAGCAGUACAAUGCAAGGAGGCGUGCAGCUUAUCAGAAGAAUAAUAAUGAGGAUAUUGUCAGCUUACAAGAUGAGAAUCAGCCGGUACUUGCAAAAUCAGGUGAGGUUGAUGGCUGAUCUUAGUUUGAUGUGCAUACGUAUAGUAUGCACAUGAUUCGUUGUAUUAAUCUAUAUCCCUGAUUAUAGAUGAUAUGAUGCUCAUACUAUGUUGCUUAUUAGAUCAUAGGGAUCUUAUCAACGCUCGUAGGCUGGUGGCUUAUCGCAAUAACAAGUCAGAUGGUUCGGCUAACCAACAAGUCAAUGGGAAGUCAUCCCGUCGCUAGUCUCUAUGUGAUAUCACAAAUGUUCUCGAAGAUAGGGAGAUAAAUAAACCCACACGAGAUUAUCAUGGUUGGUAAAUUGAUCCACGUCCCAUAUGCACUGUGUUUGCACGAAGGUAGUCACUUAUUACGCAAUUUAAAUAAGUACUGACCAAUCUUGUUGAAUCAUAUAAUUCAGCUAGCUCAACAUUUCCUGCUACAAGUACGGUCACAUCUGGUCUCAUUAAUGAAAAUGAAAUACAAGAUGCAAAUGUAAUCAUGUAUGACACCCAAGAAACAGAGCAUAAAAUGGAAGAAGAACGCAAGAGAGACCAUAGAAACGCCCUGAGGAGGGCUUCCUAUCGGCGGAAGAAACAAUAUAAUGUCCAAGUUGAACAUGCACAGACCCUUCAUUUAUCAGGUAAGCUUAUAAUGAUUUAACCAUUAUGGUCAGAACCGUCUUAAUAAUUAAGCAUUAAUAUGUGUGGACAACUUAGGUUCACCAGGCAAUCCCACUAGCUCUAACUAUACAUCAUUCUCGCGUGAUGCGCGGACAUUUCCUGAUACAACUACGGUCUCAUGUGGGAUCGUUAAUGACAACGAGCUACAAGAUGUGAUUUUGAAUGACACACAAGAAACAGAGGAAAAAACAGAAGAAGAACGCAAGAGAGACCAUAGAAACGCCCUGCGGUGAGCUGCUUAUUGGAGGAACAAGGAUAAGCAUAUCAAAGAUCAAAACAAACGUCCAUCUGGUACUUCAGGUAUACGCUUACGUUCAAUAUCCUUUUCGGAAGCCGGGCCCUACUAUUCUAGAUGGCACUCCUCCCGUGCCGAUAAGUCAAACUGUUCUAACUAUGUUUUGAAAAUAAUAUUGAUCCAGACGACCUGAAUAUCCCUAGCGUUACAGAAUUAAUGAAAGAGGGAGCAACAUGUCCCCCUUCAACUUUACACGCGUCUGUCAUUCAAGACACUAUUCUAGCUAGGAGGCAAAGUGACAAUGAGCGGAAACGUAAUUCAACAAACGAGCAAAGGGAGGCGAAAAACGCAAGUAGCAGAGCAUGCCAUCAGAAGAAAAGUGACGAAUUAACGGUGGAGGUUAGAGAAACAAAGAAUGAAAAAAUACGCGUGACUCGCGUGCAGCGCCGCAAAAGCAUGUCGGUGAUUGAGAAGGGGGAGUCAAGUGCACAGAGGAAGGCCAAUUAUGAAAGAAGGAAAAAAACACCGUGCAAAGAAUGCAUCGCAAUCCCCCUUACAAACCUUGCAAAC